This 497-nucleotide ribosomal RNA is filed under the name uncultured bacterium. RNAcentral's name for it is "partial 16S ribosomal RNA". It matches the Rfam family "Bacterial small subunit ribosomal RNA", at positions 28 to 507 of the family's 1533-position model. The record is from RNAcentral.
GAUGAACGCUGGUGGCGUGCCUAAUACAUGCAAGUCGAGCGAACAGAUAAGGAGCUUGCUCCUUUGACGUUAGCGGCGGACGGGUGAGUAACACGUGGGUAACCUACCUAUAAGACUGGGAUAACUUCGGGAAACCGGAGCUAAUACCGGAUAACAUUUGGAACCGCAUGGUUCUAAAGUGAAAGAUGGUUUUGCUAUCACUUAUAGAUGGACCCGCGGUGCAUUAGCUAGUUGGUGAGGUAACGGCUCACCAAGGCCACGAUGCAUAGCCGACCUGAGAGGGUGAUCGGCCACACUGGGACUGAGACACGGCCCAGACUCCUACGGGAGGCAGCAGUAGGGAAUCUUCGGCAAUGGACGAAAGUCUGACCGAGCAACGCCGCGUGAGUGAAGAAGGUUUUCGGAUCGUAAAACUCUGUUGUUAGAGAAGAACAAGGACGUUAGUAACUGAACGUCCCCUGACGGUAUCUAACCAGAAAGCCACGGCUAACUACGUG